This 496-nucleotide ribosomal RNA is filed under the name uncultured bacterium. RNAcentral's name for it is "partial 16S ribosomal RNA". It matches the Rfam family "Bacterial small subunit ribosomal RNA", at positions 29 to 507 of the family's 1533-position model. The record is from RNAcentral.
AUGAACGCUGGCGGCGUGCCUAAUACCUGCAAGUCGAGCGAACAGACGAGGAGCUUGCUCCUCUGACGUUAGUGGCGGACGGGUGAGUAACACGUGGAUAACCUACCUAUAAGACUGGGAUAACUUCGGGAAACCGGAGCUAAUACCGGAUAAUAUAUUGAACCGCAUGGUUCAAUAGUGAAAGACGGUUUUGCUGUCACUUAUAGAUGGAUCCGCGCCGCAUUAGCUAGUUGGUAAGGUAACGGCUUACCAAGGCAACGAUGCGUAGCCGACCUGAGAGGGUGAUCGGCCACACUGGAACUGAGACACGGUCCAGACUCCUACGGGAGGCAGCAGUAGGGAAUCUUCCGCAAUGGGCGAAAGCCUGACGGAGCAACGCCGCGUGAGUGAUGAAGGUCUUCGGAUCGUAAAACUCUGUUAUUAGGGAAGAACAAAUGUGUAAGUAACUAUGCACGUCUUGACGGUACCUAAUCAGAAAGCCACGGCUAACUACGUG